UACGAAGGGUGCUAGCGUUGCUCGGAAUCACUGGGCGUAAAGGGUGCGUAGGCGGGUCUUUAAGUCAGGGGUGAAAUCCUGGAGCUCAACUCCAGAACUGCCUUUGAUACUGAAGAUCUUGAGUUCGGGAGAGGUGAGUGGAACUGCGAGUGUAGAGGUGAAAUUCGUAGAUAUUCGCAAGAACACCAGUGGCGAAGGCGGCUCACUGGCCCGAUACUGACGCUGAGGCACGAAAGCGUGGGGAGCAAACGGG
RNAcentral lists this ribosomal RNA (253 nucleotides) under uncultured bacterium. Its description in RNAcentral is "partial 16S ribosomal RNA". It matches the Rfam family "Bacterial small subunit ribosomal RNA", at positions 524 to 776 of the family's 1533-position model. The record is from RNAcentral.